GAUGAACGCUAGCGGGAGGCUUAACACAUGCAAGUCGAGGGGUAACAUUACUUUCGGGUAGAUGACGACCGGCGAACGGGUGCGUAACGCGUAUGCAACCUACCUUGUACAAAAGGAUAGCCCAUGGAAACGUGGAUUAAUACUUUAUAGUACUAUAAAACUGCAUAGUUUAAUAGUUAAAAUUUCGAUGGUAUAAGAUGGGCAUGCGUAUGAUUAGGUAGUUGGUGAGGUAACAGCUCACCAAGCCGACGAUCAUUAGGGGUUCUGAGAGGAUUAUCCCCCACACUGGUACUGAGACACGGACCAG
Molecule: ribosomal RNA, 307 nt
Filed under: uncultured bacterium
Lineage: Bacteria
Description: bacterial SSU rRNA
Rfam family: Bacterial small subunit ribosomal RNA
Source: RNAcentral